RNAcentral lists this transfer RNA (72 nucleotides) under Ovis aries (sheep). It matches the Rfam family "tRNA". From Rfam's summary of the family: Transfer RNA (tRNA) molecules are approximately 80 nucleotides in length. Their secondary structure includes four short double-helical elements and three loops (D, anti-codon, and T loops). Lineage: Eukaryota; Metazoa; Chordata; Mammalia; Artiodactyla; Bovidae. The record is from Rfam by way of RNAcentral.
UCCCUGGUGGCUCAGAGGUUAAAGCAUCUGCCUGCAAUACAGGAGACCUGGGUUCGAUCCCUGGUUUGGGAA